CCUACGGGUGGCUGCAGUCGAGAAUCAUUCACAAUGGGGGAAACCCUGAUGGGGCGACGCCGCGUGGGGGAAUGAAGGUCUGCGGAUUGUAAACCCCAGUCAUGGGGGAGCAAAUUAAAAAGAUAGUACCACAAGAGGAAGAGACGGCCAACUCUGUGCCAGCAGCCGCGGUAAUACAGAGGUCUCAAGCGUUGUUCGGAAUGACUGGGCGUAAAGAGUGCGUAGGCUGUUUCGUAAGGCGUGUGUGAAAGGCGCGGGCUCAACCCGCGGACGGCACAUGAUACUGCGAGACUAGAGUAGUGGAGGGGGAACCGGAAUUCUCGGUGUAGCCGUGAAAUGCGUAGAUAUCGCGAGGAACCCUCGUGGCGAAGGCGGGUUCCUGGACAUUAACUGACGCUGAGGCACGAAGGCCCGGGGAGCGAAAAGGAUUAGAUACCCUUGUAGUC
This 446-nucleotide ribosomal RNA is filed under the name uncultured bacterium. RNAcentral's name for it is "partial 16S ribosomal RNA". It matches the Rfam family "Bacterial small subunit ribosomal RNA", at positions 338 to 795 of the family's 1533-position model. The record is from RNAcentral.